This 334-nucleotide small nuclear RNA is filed under the name Mustela putorius furo (domestic ferret). Its description in RNAcentral is "7SK RNA (ENSMPUG00000020860.1)". It matches the Rfam family "7SK RNA". Rfam says of the family: 7SK was discovered as an abundant small nuclear RNA in the mid-70s but a possible function has only recently been suggested. Two independent studies have found that 7SK RNA binds the CDK9/cyclin T complex (known as elongation factor P-TEFb). Lineage: Eukaryota; Metazoa; Chordata; Mammalia; Carnivora; Mustelidae. The record is from RNAcentral.
AGUUGAGGGUGGUCAGGCUGCAACACCUGUCACCCCACGGACUGCUCGUGUGCACUCAGCGGAGCUGGCUGGCCAGGCAAGGGUUCCUGUCCUCCCUCAUCAGGCCAUGUGGGUCCCUCCCAAAGCUUGGCCCUCUGUCGAAGAGGACGACAACCUUUCUUGACACAGGAAGAUCUUCUUUGGUCAAGGGCAUACGAGUAGUUGAGCUCUCCUGCUAGAACCUUGAAGCAGGUUUACUCUCAAAGUCCAUCUGUAGGAGAAGGCAGGGGUGUCUAGCUUCUGAGACCCAGACACAUCCAAAUAAAGUGCUGCGUGUGGCAGCCUGCCUUUCUUU